CCUACGGGGGGCAGCAGUAGGGAAUCUUCGGCAAUGGACGAAAGUCUGACCGAGCAACGCCGCGUGAGUGAAGAAGGUUUUCGGAUCGUAAAACUCUGUUGGUAGAGAAGAACGUUGGUGAGAGUGGAAAGCUCAUCAAGUGACGGUAACUACCCAGAAAGGGACGGCUAACUACGUGCCAGCAGCCGCGGUAAUACGUAGGUCCCGAGCGUUGUCCGGAUUUAUUGGGCGUAAAGCGAGCGCAGGUGGUUUAUUAAGUCUGGUGUAAAAGGCAGUGGCUCAACCAUUGUAUGCAUUGGAA
RNAcentral lists this ribosomal RNA (301 nucleotides) under uncultured Lactococcus sp. RNAcentral describes it as "bacterial SSU rRNA". It matches the Rfam family "Bacterial small subunit ribosomal RNA", at positions 338 to 631 of the family's 1533-position model. The record is from RNAcentral. Lineage: Bacteria; Bacillati; Bacillota; Bacilli; Lactobacillales; Streptococcaceae.